AGUAAAUUGGUUAAGUUAGAAAGGGCGCACGGUGGAUGCCUUGGCACUAGGAGCCGAAGAAGGACGGGACUAACACCGAUAUGCUUUGGGGAGCUGUACGUAAGCGUUGAUCCAGAGAUUUCCGAAUGGGGGAACCCACUAUCUUUAGUCGGAUAGUAUCCUUACGUGAAUACAUAGCGUGAGGAAGGCAGACCCAGGGAACUGAAACAUCUAAGUACCUGGAGGAAGAGAAAGAAAAAUCGAUUUCCUGAGUAGCGGCGAGCGAAACGGAAAGAGCCCAAACCAAGAAGCUUGCUUCUUGGGGUUGUAGGACACUCUAUACGGAGUUACAAAAGAAAGUUAUAAAUGAAGCGGUCUGGAAAGGCCCGCCAAAGACGGUAACAGCCCGGUAGUUGAAAUGGCUUUCCCUCCAGAGUGGAUCCUGAGUACGGCGGAACACGUGAAAUUCCGUCGGAAUCCGGGAGGACCAUCUCCCAAGGCUAAAUACUCCCUAGUGACCGAUAGUGAACCAGUACCGUGAGGGAAAGGUGAAAAGCACCCCGGAAGGGGAGUGAAACAGUUC
This 562-nucleotide ribosomal RNA is filed under the name Listeria monocytogenes. Its description in RNAcentral is "partial 23S ribosomal RNA". It matches the Rfam family "Bacterial large subunit ribosomal RNA", at positions 1 to 549 of the family's 2925-position model. Lineage: Bacteria; Bacillati; Bacillota; Bacilli; Caryophanales; Listeriaceae. The record is from RNAcentral.